CCUCGUUCGGGUCUCUGCGCUCCCGCUCCGGAGCCCGCAGCCUUCCCCAGCCCAUGCCGGGGACUCGGCCCCGCACCCUGAGAGUCUUUGUUAAUGGAUGUGGUGGCCCGUGGCACCACGACCCGGAGGAGCAGGUUGAAAAGAUCCGAUGGCAGCACCACUUCGACCAGCUUCAUCCUCAGACAGGGUGGCCUUGUCCCUUCGUUGUCACCGCCUGUCACUGGAGUUCUGGGUGACCAUCCUAAUGGAGACCUUGGCAGCAUUCAGUCCAUAAAGUGUUACCAUCUGCACCCUAAUCCCAGCUCCCACCUCCCCUGCAGACCUCUGCUGCCUGGCAUGGAAGUAUUCAGACCCGCUUGCACGACAUGACUUCUGGUGGGAUUUUAAUUUGAAAUGAAACUUAAAUGCACUAACCCUGUGCAUUCUGAUAAUUUAACAGCCCUGUUGGGAGACGAGAAAUGAGGAGAAAGUUGCUCUGAGUCGAUCUUGCUCUUAAGCCUGACAGGUUUUAUUUGGAAGAGCUGCCUGUUAGCAAGGGACAAAUGCUCAUUUUUUUUCCUGCCUGAGGAGCUGUUGAACUUUAUUUUCCCCCCCAGGUGUUAGGAAACAGGAAUUAAAAAUAGUAUGUGACCCAGACACUGUGCAAUACAAAGUUCUUUCUUUGAUCAUGUUGCUGAUUACCUGAAUCUUGUUAAUAAGGAAGAAAAAGAUCUGUUCCCCCAAAACUGAAGGAGUGAAUCAUUCUAUUCAGGGAAAUUUGAAGUAUCAGAGGAAUUGGUGGAGUUCUUGAAAAAGAGCAAAACCCUACAUUUUUCAGUUUUCUCUUUAUUUCAUGUGACUUUUGCCCUCCUCCCCACUUCCCCCCCCCCCCCCACUCGCUAAAUGUUGUGUCAGAUUAUUUAGAACUUUCUAAAUAGGGGAGAAAAAACUCUUCCAAGUUUGGC
Aethalodelphis obliquidens (Pacific white-sided dolphin) is the source of this 944-nucleotide long non-coding RNA. RefSeq lists it as uncharacterized. The transcript has 3 exons. The record is from RefSeq and is a predicted model, not a curated record. Lineage: Eukaryota; Metazoa; Chordata; Mammalia; Artiodactyla; Delphinidae.